Molecule: long non-coding RNA, 597 nt
Filed under: Mus spicilegus (steppe mouse)
Lineage: Eukaryota; Metazoa; Chordata; Mammalia; Rodentia; Muridae
Description: lncRNA (ENSMSIG00000014642.1)
Source: RNAcentral
UAAUCUAGCCCUUGUAGAGACUAGAGAAAUGUAAAGGUGACCUCAGGUCCCCUCCCUGUCUCCACUCAGGACAAUGGGUCAGCCAUACAUCAGUCAAGACAGUUCUCCCAGGCAAAGCUUGACAAUAUGAUGAAGAGGCUGUCAUGCAACAAAGUUCUUUCCUGUACCCUGAAAGCAACAAAGACCUCCUGAAAAGCCAGUCCAGGCCAAACCACUUCUAGCUGGCUUUCUGUUAUUAUCUGCCAAUAUCAGCUCAUGUUCAACUGUAGAGAGAUAGCUCCACCUGGCAACUGGACACACCCUUAGGAAGCCAGAGGGACUUGAAGAUUAACUCAGUCUCCCCCAAAUGCAGGUUGUUCCUGGGUCCUCUGCACACAAGCCAUGGCAUUGUCAGGAGUCAACACGGAAGAGGCCCUCGCCCACAAGCUUUGUUAAAUUGGGUGCACUGUUACUGCUCGCCCUUUAUGUGUUAUUUGGGUUUUGACUCUGUACCAAAUGCCCGAGAGAAACCAUUUGGACAAGACAACAGGAUGGAAGCGCAAAGCCAAAGCUCUGAAAUAAAACAAAGAGGCACUGGAGCUGUGCCCAGGACCACGC